This 549-nucleotide ribosomal RNA is filed under the name uncultured bacterium. RNAcentral's name for it is "bacterial SSU rRNA". It matches the Rfam family "Bacterial small subunit ribosomal RNA", at positions 339 to 906 of the family's 1533-position model. The record is from RNAcentral.
CUACGGGAGGCAGCAGUGGGGAAUCUUAGACAAUGGGGGCAACCCUGAUCUAGCCAUGCCGCGUGAGUGAUGAAGGCCUUAGGGUCGUAAAGCUCUUUCGCCUGUGAUGAUAAUGACAGUAGCAGGUAAAGAAACCCCGGCUAACUCCGUGCCAGCAGCCGCGGUAAUACGGAGGGGGUUAGCGUUGUUCGGAAUUACUGGGCGUAAAGCGCGCGUAGGCGGACUAAUAAGUCAGAGGUGAAAUCCCAGGGCUCAACCCUGGAACUGCCUUUGAUACUGUUAGUCUUGAGUUCGAGAGAGGUGAGUGGAAUUCCAAGUGUAGAGGUGAAAUUCGUAGAUAUUCGGAGGAACACCAGUGGCGAAGGCGGCUCACUGGCUCGAUACUGACGCUGAGGUGCGAAAGUGUGGGGAGCAAACAGGAUUAGAUACCCUGGUAGUCCACACCGUAAACGAUGAAUGCCAGACGUCGGGCAGCAUGCUGUUCGGUGUCACACCUAACGGAUUAAGCAUUCCGCCUGGGGAGUACGGCCGCAAGGUUAAAACUCAAAU